Molecule: ribosomal RNA, 339 nt
Filed under: Triticum aestivum (bread wheat)
Lineage: Eukaryota; Viridiplantae; Streptophyta; Magnoliopsida; Poales; Poaceae
Description: partial small subunit ribosomal RNA
Source: RNAcentral
AUGAAGAGGGCGAAGCGGAUCCAGUGUCCGGCUCCGCUGCCCGAAGAACCGGUCAUCCCACGCCUAGCGGAGAUGCUGGUGCCGGCGCAUUAUAAGGUGCCGGAGAAGAAGGCCAAGAAAAAGGCCAAGGGGGCGAAGAGUGGCCCCCGUCGCAAGGGCACUUCGGGCGCGACGUCUGAAGACGAUGAGGCCCAUUCCUCUGUCCCUGAGGACAAUGACGAGGAAGAGGAGAAGAAGAAGAGGGCGGUCUCGGCACAUCCGGAGGCGAAAGCGCCCAAAAAGGGGAAGGGCGCCCCAGUGGUCAAUACCACAUGGGAUGUUGACAGUAGUCCGGAAUGA